AUGGUUGCUAUAGAUCCGUCUAACACUGAUCACCAACAGUUAAAGAUCAGCAGUAAGUGAGUGUAUCUCCACUUUCACUUAUCAAAGAGUACACGGGAAGCUGUCAAAUAACUCUGUUAUUUCUGCUAUUUUGUCCCGUACAUUCGUAAGGAAGCACAGUCAGCAAUGCGAUAUAUUCUCCUAGCUGUGGUGGUCCUAAUGAUACUGGUGGACCAAACCAAUGGCUUACGAUGCCAACGGUGCAAAGCCCAGAAAUGUGUGAAGCCUAGGGGAUGCAUAAGAAGGGACUACGUAAAAGACCUCUGCAAUUGCUGUGAUGUAUGUCCCAUUGAAUUCGGGCAACCUUGCUCUGGACUGAAACCAAAGUGCGCAGGGAAUAUGUGGUGUAUCAAGAUUGAGGAGAAUCACGCCGAGGCCAGGAAGAACUUAGUUUGGAGUGACAGAUUCCGUGGUGUGUGUGGAAGAAUUAGACUCCCAAGAAUGCAAAGACCUGCUUGGUAAAUGUUCAUGCCGCUCGACGACGGUCUCCAAAAGCACAAGGCAUAAAAACGUUGAAUCCAGUUCUUGGGCAAUAUGGAAGGACCGUCUUACCAUGUAAACAACACACUACUAAAUAUUGAACGAAAAUAUUCAGUAAACUAUUUGAGAAUCUCUCAA
Haliotis rufescens (red abalone) is the source of this 657-nucleotide long non-coding RNA. RefSeq lists it as uncharacterized. The record is from RefSeq and is a predicted model, not a curated record. NCBI's taxonomy places the organism in Eukaryota, Metazoa, Mollusca, Gastropoda, Lepetellida, Haliotidae. The transcript is spliced from 4 exons.